GGGUGAGUAAAAGGUAGGAAUCUACCCCUUGGACGGAGAUAGCUACUGGAAACGGUAGGUAAACUUCGAUAAGCCCGAGAGGGGAAAGUGGUGAGACAGCCGAGGGAUGAGCCUACUCUCCAUCAGGUAGUUGGUGAGAUAAAAGCUUACCAAGCCGAUGACGGAUAACCGGUGUGAGAGCAUGAACGGUCACAAGGGCACUGAGAGACGGGCCCUACUCCUACGGGAGGCAGCAGUGGGGAAUCUUGGACAAUGGGCGAAAGCCUGAUCCAGCGACGCCGCGUGGAGGAAGAAGUCCUUCGGGAUGUAAACUUCUGAACUAGCCGAAUAAAAGGCCUGUGGACACACAGGAGAAGAAAGUAGGCUAGGAAAAGUCCCGGCUAACUACGUGCCAGCAGCCGCGGUAAGACGUAGGGGGCAAGCGUUACCCGGAAUUACUGGGCGUAAAGGGGGCGUAGGCGGUAAAAGAAGUCAUCUGUGAAAACCUAUUGCUCAACGAUAGGCUAGCGGAUGAAACUGAAUUACUUGAGGGCACCAGAGGUAGACGGAAUUACCCGAGUAGGGGUGAAAUCCGCAGAUACGGGUAGGAACGCCGGUGGAGAAGUCGGUCUACUGGGGUGCACCAGACGCUGAGGCCCGAAAGCUAGGGGAGCAAACCGGAUUAGAUACCCGGGUAGUCCUAGCCGUAAACGAUGCUCACUAGGUGUAGGGAGUGAUAAACUCUCUGUGCUGAAGCGAACGCGCUAAGUGAGCCGCCUGGGGAGUACGUCCGCAAGGAUGAAACUCAAAGGAA
This 793-nucleotide ribosomal RNA is filed under the name uncultured bacterium. Its description in RNAcentral is "bacterial SSU rRNA". It matches the Rfam family "Bacterial small subunit ribosomal RNA", at positions 104 to 909 of the family's 1533-position model. The record is from RNAcentral.